GAGCCAUUAGCUCAGUUGGUAGAGCAUCUGACUUUUAAUCAGAGGGUCGAAGGUUCGAGUCAUUCCUGGCUCA
Molecule: transfer RNA, 73 nt
Filed under: Bacillus safensis
Lineage: Bacteria; Bacillati; Bacillota; Bacilli; Caryophanales; Bacillaceae
Description: tRNA-Lys
Rfam family: tRNA
About the family: Transfer RNA (tRNA) molecules are approximately 80 nucleotides in length.
Source: RNAcentral